Molecule: ribosomal RNA, 546 nt
Filed under: uncultured Glomeromycotina
Lineage: Eukaryota; Fungi; Glomeromycota
Description: SSU rRNA
Rfam family: Eukaryotic small subunit ribosomal RNA
Source: RNAcentral
AGGGCAAGUCUGGUGCCAGCAGCCGCGGUAAUUCCAGCUCCAAUAGCGUAUAUUAAAGUUGUUGCAGUUAAAAAGCUCGUAGUUGAAUUUCGGGAUCAAUUUAUCGGUCGUGCCUCUGGUAUGCACUGGUAUUAUUGAUUUCUACCUUCUGACGAACCAUGAUGUCAUUAAUUUGGUGUCAUGGGGAAUCAGGACUGUUACUUUGAAAAAAUUAGAGUGUUUAAAGCAAGCACACGCUUGAAUACAUUAGCAUGGAAUAAUGAAAUAGGACGUUUGACCCUAUUUUGUUGGUUUCUAGGAUCGACGUAAUGAUUAAUAGGGAUAGUUGGGGGCAUUAGUAUUCAAUUGUCAGAGGUGAAAUUCUUGGAUUUAUUGAAGACUAACUACUGCGAAAGCAUUUGCCAAGGAUGUUUUCAUUAAUCAAGAACGAAAGUUAGGGGAUCGAAGACGAUCAGAUACCGUCGUAGUCUUAACCAUAAACUAUGCCGACUAGGGAUCGGAUGAUGUUAAUUUUUUAAUGACUCAUUCGGCGCCUUUACGGGAAAC